This 351-nucleotide unclassified non-coding RNA is filed under the name soil metagenome. RNAcentral's name for it is "partial contains 5.8S ribosomal RNA, internal transcribed spacer 2, and large subunit ribosomal RNA". The stretch from base 2 to 121 matches the Rfam family "5.8S ribosomal RNA", at positions 35 to 154 of the family's 154-position model. The record is from RNAcentral.
UGAUGAAGAACGCAGCGAACUGCGAUAAGUAAUGUGAAUUGCAGAAUUCAGUGAAUCAUCGAGUCUUUGAACGCACAUUGCGCCCCCUGGCAUUCCGGGGGGCAUGCCUGUCCGAGCGUCAUUGCUGCCCUUCAAGCCCGGCUUGUGUGUUGGGUCGUCGUCCCCCCCGGGGGACGGGCCCGAAAGGCAGCGGCGGCACCGCGUCCGGUCCUCGAGCGUAUGGGGCUUUGUCACCCGCUCGAUUAGGGCCGGCCGGGCGCCAGCCGGCGUCUCCAACCUUCUAUUUUACCAGGUUGACCUCGGAUCAGGUAGGGAUACCCGCUGAACUUAAGCAUAUCAAUAAGCGGAGGA